Molecule: ribosomal RNA, 345 nt
Filed under: uncultured bacterium
Lineage: Bacteria
Description: bacterial SSU rRNA
Rfam family: Bacterial small subunit ribosomal RNA
Source: RNAcentral
GAAUUCACUAGUGAUUCAGGCCUAACACAUGCAAGUCGAGCGGUAGAGAGAAGCUUGCUUCUCUUAAAAAAAACGGACGGGUGAGUAAUGCCUAGGAAUCUGCCUGGUAGUGGGGGAUAACGUUCGGAAACGGACGCGAAUACCGCAUACGUGCCUACGGGAGAAAGCAGGGGACCUUCGGGCCUGGCGCUAUCAGAUGAGCCUAGGUGGGAGUGGCUAGUUGGUGAGGUAAUGGCUCACCAAGGCGACGAUCCGUAACUGGUCUGAGAGGAUGAUCAGUCACACUGGAACUGAGACACGGUCCAGACUCCUACGGGAGGCAGCAGUGGGGAAUAUUGGACAAUG